CCACGUGGCUCAUCAUUUCCGCCAUGUCGGCAGCCACCGAUGCCGGGAUGGCUUGCGUCGGCUUUCUGCCGUCGCGGUCCCAGCGCCAGACCGGAUCACCUGCGCCGGUCCGGACUUCGAGCACGGCAUGCGGCUUCACCGCGCGUCCCUUGUUCGGGAACGUGGCGUAAGCGACCGCAUGCUCGACGACGCUCACUUCGGUCGA
Molecule: unclassified non-coding RNA, 205 nt
Filed under: Hevea brasiliensis (rubber tree)
Lineage: Eukaryota; Viridiplantae; Streptophyta; Magnoliopsida; Malpighiales; Euphorbiaceae
Source: RNAcentral